This 243-nucleotide ribosomal RNA is filed under the name uncultured bacterium. Its description in RNAcentral is "partial 16S ribosomal RNA". It matches the Rfam family "Bacterial small subunit ribosomal RNA", at positions 1258 to 1500 of the family's 1533-position model. The record is from RNAcentral.
CGAGUGCAAGCAAAUCCCAGAAAUAACGUCUCAGUUCGGAUUGUAGUCUGCAACUCGACUACAUGAAGCUGGAAUCGCUAGUAAUCGCGAAUCAGAAUGUCGCGGUGAAUACGUUCCCGGGUCUUGUACACACCGCCCGUCACACCAUGGGAGUUGGUAACGCCCGAAGUCAGUGACCCAACCUUAGGGAGGGAGCUGCCGAAGGCGGGACUGAUAACUGGGGUGAAGUCGUAACAAGGUACC